GAAGAAGAAGAAGAAGAAGAAUUAGACCCAAUCCUCCUCAAAAAAGAAACCAACCCACGAAAAACCCUCCUAAACCCACCACCGCCACUGCUCUCCCUCCUUCUACUUGUUCUACUCACCCACGAAACCCGCCUAGGAGCGCCACCACUCCCACUAAACCCACCAUCCAUCUCUGUAAACACGCCGGGAAACUCUCUCUCUCCUCCCCUCCUUCCCCCACUGAAUCUUCCCACUGCAAAUCCACCUCCUGGCAGCCUCCAUAUGGUCAACCCAACAAUUUCCUCCGAUUCCCCCGAAUUCUCGCUUUCUUGCUGAUCCGCCGGUAACUCAUGGCGGCAAACGGGACACGAAUUCCUAAUUGCGAGCCAAGGAAGUAUGCAAUCCGAGUGGUAAAUAUGCGUACAGGGCAUCUCGCGUGCUUUGCCGCCGAGCUCGAACGCCUCCUUACAGACGGCGCAGUGUGCCUCCGCUAAUACGUGGGUUUCGUUUAUUUCAACCGUGGGCAUCGACUCCACCACUGCUUUUGACGCCGGCGGGUUUCCUACCCGCCCGAAACCAUUCACUUCAAUCUGUGCUAACUGGUCUAGCAAGCGGUCAAACCCAGAUCCCAUCAAAAACUCGGACAUAUUGGCCGGCACUGGUCUAAGACCCGACCCGGUGCCGUCAUCAUAGUAGAACUCAUAGCUGCUUCCUUCCUCGUUCUCUUCGGGGGCGGUGCCACGCAAGACAAUAACCGGGUUAAAAGGGGAACGAUCGCCAGCGUUUCGUCGAUUCCGGCGAAAUCUUAAGGUGGGAAUCCGAUCUGAGUCCUGACGGUUUCUAGCGUUGUUAUCGGAUAACAUGUACAUGAAUCGACGGUGUGGAUUGUCCGAUCGCGAAUUGUUUUCGAUCUCUUCGAUAAAUCCACCGUCGCAGUGAGGACAAGUGACGUCGUUGUUCUCCGCAGAGACCAAAACAGUGAUGAAGCGCGUGCAUCUAUAACACCAAUACGACGACGUCGUCGACAUGACUGAAAAGCUUCAGAUCCGGCGAGCAGAGAGAAAGAGAACAAGACACACAAGAAAAAGUCUCGAAGUGAGAAAAUAAAGAAGAGAAAUUGGGCUUUUAAGGCUGGCGCUGGGGCGGUGUAAAAAAGCGCAAUAGAGAGUUCAAAUGACGCGUGAAGCUCACUCGUUUCACUGUGGUUUCGCCCAUAUGCGGACAAUAAUGGAAAAGGCCAAAGAGGCGCGUAACGAAGGAGCGUCGAAGGGAAAAGUUGACUGGGGGGCAAAUAAAAAUCGGCGAGUUUGAAAUUUCAAAACUCGGCGUAGGUGGCAACUCGCAGGAAGAUUCUCAAACGAUGUUAAGGGAGUGGUGGUUGUGUGGUUAGAAUAUAAUUGGCUGAAGGGCCGGACAGAUCUGGAAA
Molecule: unclassified non-coding RNA, 1405 nt
Filed under: Hevea brasiliensis (rubber tree)
Lineage: Eukaryota; Viridiplantae; Streptophyta; Magnoliopsida; Malpighiales; Euphorbiaceae
Source: RNAcentral